Centrocercus urophasianus (Greater sage-grouse) is the source of this 169-nucleotide long non-coding RNA. RefSeq lists it as uncharacterized. The transcript has 3 exons. NCBI's taxonomy places the organism in Eukaryota, Metazoa, Chordata, Aves, Galliformes, Phasianidae. The record is from RefSeq and is a predicted model, not a curated record.
GCGCGUGCGCGAAGCGGCAUGAAGCCUUCUGGGCGUUCCGAGCGAGGCGGUGCAUUUCCGCGCGUCGUUCUUAUCCCAGAGGAGGAAAAGAGCUGAAGAUAAAGAGAGAGAAAAAUGGAGGACACAGCAGGAUUUCAGCAUUGUUAAAACCUGAGGUACUGGGACAUAU